UGCGGCUGGAUCCCCUCCUUUCCGGAGAAAACCUGCAGCGCUCGCCUCGGCGAGACUGCCAGGUGUCGGUCCUCCUCGGAGGACACGACAGAACGGUGAAUACGGAAGCUGCUACCAAUCUUUGAAGGACCGCCUCCUCUUCGGAGCAGACGGGCCCUCUCUUUGAAAUUUUGCGUAGGAAUGGUGGUAGACGCGAGCGAGCGGGCCUUCGGGCACGUUCGGUCGAGUUGAGAUUCCGAAAUGGGUCAAGUUGUCAAGGGCACACGGUGGAUGCCUUGGCAUCAGGAGGCGAUGAAGGACGUAGGAGCCUGCGAUAAGCCCCGUCGAGCUGGCAAGCGAGCGAUGACGCGGGGAUGUCCGAAUGGGGAAACCCGG
RNAcentral lists this unclassified non-coding RNA (375 nucleotides) under uncultured bacterium. RNAcentral describes it as "partial contains 16S ribosomal RNA, 16S-23S ribosomal RNA intergenic spacer, and 23S ribosomal RNA". The stretch from base 244 to 375 matches the Rfam family "Bacterial large subunit ribosomal RNA", at positions 1 to 131 of the family's 2925-position model. The record is from RNAcentral.